GAGAGAGGCUCGCAGCAACAAAGACUGCUAAUCUUCGCCAUCCAGGUUGGACCCCUGGACUCACUCG
This 67-nucleotide transfer RNA is filed under the name Chaetodon aureofasciatus (golden butterflyfish). RNAcentral describes it as "tRNA-Ser". Lineage: Eukaryota; Metazoa; Chordata; Actinopteri; Chaetodontiformes; Chaetodontidae. The record is from RNAcentral. RNAcentral also lists the same sequence under 1 other name.